This is a long non-coding RNA of Macrobrachium nipponense, 1351 nucleotides long. RefSeq lists it as uncharacterized. The transcript has 4 exons. Lineage: Eukaryota; Metazoa; Arthropoda; Malacostraca; Decapoda; Palaemonidae. The record is from RefSeq and is a predicted model, not a curated record.
GUUGCCAACCCGCCUUGCUCCAAAAUGUUCUGAAUUUCUUAACAAGAGUGAUAGGAUCACUAAGUAUUUUGAAUUGUGUUCGUAGUUACGGUAUAUUAUUGUCAAGCAUGAAUCUAUGAAACUAAUGUUACAGAAAUACAAUAGCCCAUGAUGGACAGAAUUGUGGGAAUUGAAGGUAAACGGCGAAGCUGCUCGCCAGAAUGGCCAAGGAUGCCCAAUCCCAAGGUCUGUAUAUAUAUAUAUAUAUAUAUAUAUAUAUAUAUAUAUAUAUAUAUAUAUAUAUAUAUAUAUUUAUAUAUAAUGUGUGUGUGUGUUUGUGCCACAUACACUUUGAAACGCAUUGAGCAAUCUCAACCAAACUUAGUACACAUAUAACAUAUCAUCGGGGAAAAAAUACUGUGAAGUAAGACAUCACUGGCACCAAAGAGGGGGAUGGGAAAGUGGGGAAAGUAAAAAUAAUUGAAAACUACAAAUAUUAGUGUCUAAGCCAUAGUUUUCGAGGUCACAGAGAUGAAUAAUGACACUCCUAAUGCCAUUCUAGUCCAAGUUCAACCCCAGUAAGAAAGGGGAUGGAUGAUAAGGGGUUGGAAGGGGGUGACGUAAAAAGCGACCUCAAAAGCUAUGGAUCAGACACUAAUAUCUGUAGUUUUCGGUUAUUUUUUAGAUGUCACCACCUUCCCCAACCCCUUUACACAUCAUUUCUAUCAGGGCUAACCUUGGACUAAAGGGCAUCGAAGUGUCACUAUUCAUCUCAGGGACGUCAAAAACUAUGGAUUAGACACUGGGUGUCAAUGAUGUCGUACCCCCACACUAUUCUUUCACCGAUGCUAUGUUAUAUGUAAACCAAGUUUGGUUGAAAUUGCUCAAUGCAUGUAAAAGUGUAUGUGGGACAAACACACACACACACACACACACAUCUCUUAAGACUUUGGCCAAGCCAUGGUCUAAAUAUUUGGAUCACGGUUCAUCGUUGCCUUCGCCUAGGACCACGGUCUUCUAUGAAGACAAUGCCGGAGGCUGUGUGUGAAAUCCAGGUGAUUCAAAAACAUCCAGCCUCAUCCUCAGUCCCAGAUAGCUACUCUGGAAAGACAGACGUGUCUUCUCCUCUGACUGGAAGUCAGGCCUUUGUCGUCCCACGCCGGUUGGCCCCUGGUAGGACCCCUUCAUACAUUACACACAUGUUCCAGCUUCAAAGGAUUAAAGAUUGGCUGAGUCAUGUGUCCAAGUCUCCGUGUUCACAAGUGCUGCCCUAACGCAAGAUAAACCUGAUUUUGGCCAGCUUCCCCCUAUUGUGAGAGAUAGGAUUGGUCCACAUGCAGACAAGUUGCAUUUACUUUUCCCCAAGCCAUUC